CGUAACUUUAAGGUUAAGGGUGAUUGAAUGUUUAAGUUUUUGUCUCAAAAUUCCGCUGCAUUCAAGUACUGUUGGAAGGUUUAGAGUUUCCGAAGUCAUUUUUCAAUUUGGUAGAUGCUACAAAGAAGACUUUUUAUAUUUUCAUACUAAAAGGAUUUUAAAAUACACGGCUAACUGUUACCUUUGAUAUUAAAUGUUGUUUAACUACGCAGAAACACUUUUUAAGCUUUAUAUCAGAGGUUUCACCCCAUACUGGAUAUUGUAUUCUACUAGUACACUCUGCAGUACCUAAAAUCAUAAAAAUAUUAACUUGAUAUCAUGGUUCAUGCAAAUAAAUAAAUAACCUAUUUUGCUCUUCAUGGGCAGACUUUUGAUGUAGCUAAUCCGUGUUUGAGUGUGUUUUUUUUUUUUUUCUCAGUCUGUCAUUUAACCGAUUAUUCUGAUAGCACCUGAACGCAGCAUAGGGCACCUGCCUGAGGACCGUUGCAGCACGUCACAUUUCCUUCAAAUUUUCAACCCUUCGAUGCUGUUUUGCCCGCCAUUUAUUUGGAGUACAGGAGAUGAGAAACGGAGGGAGACAGGACGACUGAGGCUGACACAUAGAAAAUUAGCCGUCUGCACCGGCGGCUGCCCCGCCAGACGACGACGACAUGGGCCUCGAGUGAAGAACUAGAGACAAAAAAAGACAGAACGACUGAAUCUGGUGAGCGACCGACCGCGGUUUUCUCUGUCCUAAGUUUGACCUAAAGUUUGCAUUGACUGUUAAAGCAGUGGGGAAAAAUAUUUUCAUUAGCAUUUUCAUUUGCCCUUUUUGAGUCUUUACAAAAAGGGGUCAACACUGUCUGACCCAAAUCGUGUUGAGUGUUAUAAAUGUCUUUCUUUUGACCACGAACCUAUACAUUAUAUUUUCGGGUGUUUUACGGGUUCACCCGAAUGAUGGGGAAACAUCUCAAAGACUUCUUUGAGGCACUUGACCGUUUUUCACCAAACUUGAUGGACCUCUUCAGGAAGAAAAGGGGCCUCAGUGGACAACUUUUAACUGACCUUUUACGUCAGACAAAGGUAGGCUGACUUGUCAACCUGAAAUGUCUUGGCUCUCUAUCAUUCCCCCUUUUACCAAUUAAUGAACUAAUCUAAGGAAAAACAAUGAAUAAACUUAUAUGUAACUUUACUAAAAAACAAACAAAACAAAACUGACAAAUAGUUCCUACAUCUUCUGCCGUUCUAUCCAUCUCUCUCUACUGUCCAGGAAGUUUGUAAUACAAUAAUUAAAUUGUGCCGUUUUUUUUCUGGUUUCUAUUUAACCAUAUACAGUAAGAAUGUACUUAACUAUGUGUAUAUGAUCUUCCAGACCACUGAGCCAGACAUCAGGUGCCUUUGUCUUCGGGGACUGCCAGUCGUCUUGGGGGAUGACCUGCAUUCUUCAAAAGCUGCUUUAAGAUGCAACUGACAAGGACUUGUACAGUGAAACUCCAGUGGGAAUCCUCUGCAGUGACAAACAUCCUCCACUCAACCCAUCCAGAGUGAGCAUCAUCUUGGCCAACCUACCGCUGGCUUUCUGUGUCCUUUUUGGACUGAUCAAUGCGUUGCACUUGGAUUACCCCAAGUGCAUGAAAAGCACCUUCCACUUUAUUCAUUUGGUCAGGCUCAACUUUGGCAGAGGUGGGUGGAAACCCAAAUUCAAUCUUUGAAGAAGUAAGUGUGUGUUUAAAACAGGGGUCUUAACCCAUUGCUCUGGAUGGGAGUGUUUGGUUAUUUGUAAUGUUGCACUUUAAAAAUACCAUUACUGUUGGCACUGUUCGAUAUGCAAGUUUUAUUUAUGCAUUGCCACUGAUUUUCCAAUUUGAUUUCAUGCUGAUUGUGUAUGAUUAAUGUUUUUAGCAUGAAUGUAGUUUAAUUCCCAUUGCUACCUAUGUUGCAUAGCAUUGUUGAUGUUGUAGUUUAAUGCUAUACUGAUUCAGAACAGUAUUAUUAUUAUUAUUAUUAUGUUUUUAUUACAAACAUUUUUUAUUGACCAGAUAAAGACAAGUUUAAAAAACAUGUUAACAAGACAAAUUUCUGUGUAUGGAGACAAAUAAAUAAUCAAGAAUGUA
Molecule: long non-coding RNA, 2093 nt
Organism: Oryzias melastigma (Indian medaka)
Lineage: Eukaryota; Metazoa; Chordata; Actinopteri; Beloniformes; Adrianichthyidae
Exons: 3
Source: RefSeq, a predicted model, not a curated record